This 262-nucleotide ribosomal RNA is filed under the name uncultured bacterium. Its description in RNAcentral is "partial 16S ribosomal RNA". It matches the Rfam family "Bacterial small subunit ribosomal RNA", at positions 524 to 784 of the family's 1533-position model. The record is from RNAcentral.
UACGAAGGGGGCUAGCGUUGCUCGGAAUCACUGGGCGUAAAGCGCACGUAGGCGGAUCUUUAAGUCAGGGGUGAAAUCCUGGAGCUCAACUCCAGAACUGCCCUUGAUACUGGGGAUCUUGAGUCCGGAAGAGGUGAGUGGAACUCCGAGUGUAGAGGUGAAAUUCGUAGAUAUUCGGAAGAACACCAGUGGCGAAGGCGGCUCACUGGUCCGGUACUGACGCUGAGGUGCGAAAGCGUGGGGAGCAAACAGGGAUUAAGAA